AGUACUGCAGUGUGCGGCGCAUGGCUGCGAGGGCCUGCCGAGGGGCGGGCGCGAGUCGGAAAGACACCGACCAGGGAAUGGGCGACGAGGCUUGCCUUAAUUCGGAGGAAACCCAGGACUUGAGAGAGCCAUACAAUUUGAAAGACGAAGCACCGUGAAAUGCAGAAAGUUGUGGUUCGGAUAGCUCAGCUGAUUAAUUUCAUGUUGCCACAGUUUGUCAGUGAGUUUUGCCUUUUUAUUUUCUCAGUUCCUUUAAAGGCAGUGCAUUCGGUACUUACCUGAUAAUGUGAAAAACGCGAGCUUUAGAAAACCGAAUAGGUGUACAUGGUUUACUGUAAUGACUUGUUCUCCAAAGUAAGAGUACCAAACGCUGGAAGCAAAUAGUAUUUCAGUCAUUCGAAGAGUAGUGCCCAAGCAUUUAACAUUGAAGCUGUUAAAAGGGCAAAGUAGGCCCCAAUUUUAGAUCUAAGCCAUCAACUUUAUGGAACAGUCCUAAGGGCUUUUUGAAAAGGAGAUUUAAAAACACAUUUCAGAGGUGGUAGCUGAGUUGAAGAAGUGAGGAAAGACUUGGAUAGGGAGGAAAUAGUUUGACACUGAAGGAUGUUAGGAAGUAGGGAUUCCUUGUGCAACUUAAGAGUUUUGUAAAUAAGACGGCUUGGCCUUGUGUCAAGAUACAUCAAUUGGUUAUAGCUUAGUGCUUGGAGGCCCACAUUAUAGGAGUAGACUAGUUCUCCCUCCGCCCCGCCCCUGGAAAAUCUAUUUCAAGACCAUAAACCACAUUGCUAAUCCUUGGAAAUGCAGAAGGUGGUUAGGUUUAAAAUGUGGCUUUAAAAUGGUCCUAACAGAAACGUAUUGAUGUUACUAUUCAGAAUAUCUGCCCAGUAUACGAGGAAGAAAAAGGUUAAACCUAAAACACUAAAAAUUCAUAGUUCAUAUUCAGUUAUUAGCCUAUGAAGAUUUGGUACAGCCUUCAUCCUUCAUUUUAGACAAAUAACAAAUCUAUAUGGUUUAUAAGUGUAUUUUGUAAGGAGUUAUAUAUAUCUAUAUAUGUGUGUCUCCACCCAUCUGAACCUGACCUGCAAACCAAGAGGUUCUUGUUUAUUUCCGAUAGUUUUGGUAGUCUUGUUAAAGGCAUUUGAUUCAAAAUCCAAAUUUGCAUACAUUUUUCCAACUGGAUAGAGGAGGCAGGAAUAUAUUUGAAUAUUGUUCUCACUUAUUUUGUCCCUCUUCUUAUUCUUUAAAAAAAAAUUAAGCCUGUCAAUUUUAGCAGUGGGGGUUGCAUAUCAAUUUUAGUGAUACUAAUGUUAAUAAGUUCUGAUAACCCACUACCAUUGGACCACCCCCACUCUUAUUCCUAAAACGAAUCUGAAAAUAAUUAGCUUGCUUUAACGGGAAGAAUGAAUGUUAGGGAACCACCCUGCUGAACUCCAUUUUGCUGUCGGCUCUGAAUAAAGCUAUUUUAUCCAGAAAAGCUAUCUCUGGACAAAUAUUUUGAAUAGUUCAGUAACCGCAAUAGGUUUCUGCUAGAACCAUUUUGAAGCCACCCUUUAACCCUAACCACCUUAUGUAUUUCCAAGGAUUGGCGAUGUAGUUUAUGGUUUUGGGAUAGAUUUUUCUGGGGGAGGGGAGAACCUCCCUUCUAGCUCUCUGCAGAUUAUCAGAGCCGCCACUGCAGGGAUUUGCUCCCGUGGGCCUAUAUGUCUCCCCAGAUACCUUCCUAAAACUAUUAGCUUUUAUCUGUCUGUGUAUUCCCCUGUUGUGAAUGGGGAAGUAUUUGAGGGCUUGUUUUUUUAGGUUCUUGAUAAUAAAUACCUCAGGUUUCACAGAGUAAUCAAACUAAAAGAAAACUUCUUUUUUAUUUCAUUUUAUUUUUUUGACCGAAACUCCAUCUCCAAAAAAAAAAAAGGGUAUAUUGUUAUGUGAUAUUGGGACAUCCGAACAUUUUGUUGUCAUAGGAGUUUGUCCUUGCCAGCAUUAAUAAACUGCUUCCUUAGCUGUAAACAUCUUAUGACCAUGGGUUGUAUCUGGUAAGGAAUAGGCUUUGCUAGUCUAAAUUUAGAAUUGAUUUUGAAAUUGUGUUAUCCUAGCCCUUUUUUCUUUUUUUGAGACACAGUUUUGUUUUUGUCACCCAGGCAGGGGUGCAAUGGCGUGAUCUUGGCGCACUGCAACCUCUGCCUCGUGGGUUCAAGCGAUUCUCCUGUCUCAGCCUCCCAAGUAGCAGAGAUUACAGGCACCUGCCACAAUGCCCAGAUUAUUUUUGUAUUUUUAGUAGAGAAGGGAUUUCACAAUGUUGGCCAGACUAGUCUCGAACUUCUGACCUCAGGUGAUCCGCCCACCUCGGCCUCCCAAAGUGCUGGAAUUACAGGCGUGAGCCACCGUACGUGGCCAUGUUACCCUAACUCUUAUGUUCCUGUUUCCCUAACAUAAUACCUCCUUUACUCUUCUCCUCUACUACUCUAAUCUUAAGGGGAGAUGAAGGGUGAAGGUCAUUUUUUGUAACUUCUUCCUGCUGACAGUGGACGUUGAUCUUUGGGACAGGAUUCUCUUAUAAGAAUUUGCAGUUGGUGGGCUGGGCACGGUGGCUCAUGCCUGUAAUCCCAGCACUCUGGGAGGCUGAGGCAGGCGGAUCACGAAGUCAGGAGAUCGAGACCAUCCUGGCUAACACGGUGAAACCCCAUCUCUACUAAAAAUACAAAAAAUUAGCCAGGUGUGGUGGUGGGCACCUGUAGUCCCAGCUACUCGGGAGGCCGAGGCAGGAGAAUGGUGUGAACCUGGGAGGCGGAGCUUGCAGUGAGGCGAGAUCAUGCCACUGCACUCCAG
RNAcentral lists this long non-coding RNA (2820 nucleotides) under Homo sapiens (human). Its description in RNAcentral is "non-protein coding lnc-TUBA1C-1:12". Lineage: Eukaryota; Metazoa; Chordata; Mammalia; Primates; Hominidae. The record is from RNAcentral.